CAAACCGCUGCAGUCCAGCAGGCCAGCCCCAGUGUGGGGGUGGGGCUCAGCUCUCCUCUGGCUACAGAGGAAGGGGGUGACACCCAUUUCUCAGGCUGAGCAGCAGCAGCAGCAGCAGCAGCAGCAGCAGCAGCAGCAGCAGCAGCAGCAGCAGCAGCGAGAGCCAACCGCCCCGCCCCCCAACGCAGCCCAGCCAUCUGCAGCGCUAGGUUUGUGACUGAGCCCUCGGCAAGCUGCGGGGCCUGAGGCUGUCAGACAGCAGAUUCUCAUCCCGCCUUCUGAGGUGUUGAGGAAACACGAGAUGCACCACCAACCCACACCACGGUGACGUACUUGGCUCUGCCAUAUGCCAGCCUUGGGGUGCUCGAGUCUGCCCGCCCUGGGUGCGGGUACCCACCUUCCAGAUGGGAGGAUGUGAUACCUGCAGGGCAGCCAGAGAUGGGUGGGGGGAGAACAGGGGUGUUUUCUCCUGCCACCGACUCCAGGAGCGUGGGCUCCCUGGGCCCUGGCGGGGAAGGCAGCAGGGAGCUUCCUGUGCCCAGAGGGGGACUCAUCCAGCUGCCGAACAUCUGCAGGGCCAACCAGCUCUGGGGCACAUGUGUCCAGGGCAUGCCGCGAAGGAGAUGCUGACUUGGCAUGGCUGCAGCCAGAGAAGUCUUUGGCAAGAUUAUCUGACUGCCUGGAAAGAAACCACUCAGAAGCAGGAGAUUUAGCACACGUGACCCACAGCCAGAAAAACAUCCAGGCCCCAGGUGAGCUGAGAGGGACCCAGGAACCUGGGGAACUGCCCUUCCUUCCUGCCCCACCCCCGCCCCCCAUGCCUCCCUGUGAAUCCUCCUUGAUGCCCUCCGCGCUCCAUUUUCCUGCCUUACCCUGCAGAUCAGCUUUCCUCGCUUGCUCAUCAACACAUGUUCCUAAAAUAGCUGCUCCAGCCUCCCCCUCCUGUCUUCCCUGCCUGACCUUCAGCUCCAGGCCCUGCCCCAGACUGAUUCCCAGGCUCUAGCCCCCUUAGUGCCAAAAGUCUUAAGAGAGAGGAUCUGAUUGGUUAUUGAUCAUCCAAUGAUUUGUCUCCUGUUGGGUCAGGUGUCCACCUCCCAUCCAAUUGUCUGAGGGUAGCAGGCGGGGGU
This 1127-nucleotide long non-coding RNA is filed under the name Sus scrofa (pig). RNAcentral describes it as "lncRNA (ENSSSCG00030054637.1)". The record is from RNAcentral. Lineage: Eukaryota; Metazoa; Chordata; Mammalia; Artiodactyla; Suidae.